This 484-nucleotide ribosomal RNA is filed under the name uncultured bacterium. RNAcentral describes it as "partial 16S ribosomal RNA". It matches the Rfam family "Bacterial small subunit ribosomal RNA", at positions 30 to 507 of the family's 1533-position model. The record is from RNAcentral.
AUUGAACGCUGGCGGCAGGCCUAACACAUGCAAGUCGAGCGGUAGAGCGAAGCUUGCUUCUCUUGAGAGCGGCGGACGGGUGAGUAAUGCCUAGGAAUCUGCCUGGUAGUGGGGGAUAACGUUCGGAAACGGACGCUAACACCGCAUACGUCCUACGGGAGAAAGCAGGGGACCUUCGGGCCUUGCGCUAUCAGAUGAGCCUAGGUCGGAUUGGCUAGUUGGUGGGGUAAUGGCUCACCAAGGCGGCCAUCCGCAACUGGUCUGAGAGGAUGAUCAGUCACACUGGAACUGAGACACGGUCCAGACUCCUACGGGAGGCAGCAGUGGGGAAUAUUGGACAAUGGGCGAAAGCCUGAUCCAGCCAUGCCGCGUGUGUGAAGAAGGUCUUCGGAUUGUAAAGCACUUUAAGUUGGGAGGAAGGGCAGUAAAUUAAUACUUUGCUGUUUUGACGUUACCGACAGAAUAAGCACCGGCUAACUCUGUG